Non-coding RNA from Salmo salar (Atlantic salmon), 166 nucleotides. NCBI's taxonomy places the organism in Eukaryota, Metazoa, Chordata, Actinopteri, Salmoniformes, Salmonidae. The record is from RefSeq and is a predicted model, not a curated record.
GUAGAACCAGGGGGACAGUUAUGACCAGGUAGAACCAGGGGGACAGUUAUGACCAGGUAGAACCAGGGGGACAGUUAUGACCAGGUAGAACCAGGGGGACAGUUAUGACCAGGUAGAACCAGUGGGUGGAGUUAGAAUGACCAGGUAGAACCAGGGGGACAGUUAU